GGGUAGCAAUAUUCUGUGGUCGGAGCGGCGCAAGGGUGCGUAACACGUGGGUAAUCUGCCAUGAAGUUUGGAAUAACUUGCUGAAAGGCGAGCUAAUGCCGGAUGUGACAAUUGGAUGGCAUCAUUUGAUUGUCAAAGCUGGGGACCGUAAGGCCUGGCGCUUCAUGAUGAGCCCGCGGCCUAUCAGCUAGUUGGUGAGGUAACGGCUCACCAAGGCUAAGACGGGUAGCUGGUCUGAGAGGACGACCAGCCACACUGGAACUGAGACACGGUCCAGACACCUACGGGUGGCAGCAGUCGAGAAUUUUUCACAAUGGGCGCAAGCCUGAUGGAGCGACGCCGCGUGGGGGAUGAAUGGCUUCGGCCCGUAAACCCCUGUCAUUUGCGAACAAAUUGGUUCAAUUAACACUUGAACCAUUGAUAGUAGCGAAAGAGGAAGGGACGGCUAACUCUGUGCCAGCAGCCGCGGUAAUACAGAGGUCCCAAGCGUUGUUCGGAUUCACUGGGCGUAAAGGGUGCGUAGGUGGUCAGGUAAGUCGGAUGUGAAAUCUCCGAGCUCAACUCGGAAACUGCAUUGGAAACUACCUGGCUCGAGGGUUGGAGGGGGGACUGGAAUGCUUGGUGUAGCAGUGAAAUGCGUAGAUAUCAAGCGGAACACCAGUGGCGAAGGCGAGUCCCUGGACAACUCCUGACACUGAUGCACGAAAGCUAGGGGAGCAAACAGGAUUAGAUACCCUGGUAGUCCUAGCCGUAAACGGUGCACGUUUGCUGUAAAAGGAAUCGACCCCUUUUGUGGCGUA
This 800-nucleotide ribosomal RNA is filed under the name uncultured Verrucomicrobiota bacterium. RNAcentral's name for it is "bacterial SSU rRNA". It matches the Rfam family "Bacterial small subunit ribosomal RNA", at positions 74 to 850 of the family's 1533-position model. Lineage: Bacteria; Pseudomonadati; Verrucomicrobiota. The record is from RNAcentral.